Molecule: non-coding RNA, 704 nt
Filed under: Pongo abelii (Sumatran orangutan)
Lineage: Eukaryota; Metazoa; Chordata; Mammalia; Primates; Hominidae
Source: RNAcentral
AAAAAUACACCCUCAUCUACCCAAUUCUGCCCUACCCUUUGGAGCUCCUGGACCCGCUGACAGCUCGGUGGGGUCAGAGCCCACCCCCGGAAGGGCCGCUGGUCAGGGACGGGUUCGCCCUCUCCUGGCCUCCUUGGACCAGCGCGCGGGGAGGAUCCCGGUAACGCCGGGCGCCUGCAGACCUUGAGUGGCCUCACCCUGGUGACCUCCCCGGGAAAAGCUGGGCCGUGCUUCCACACUGAGGGCCACUUGUUAAUUUGCACGAGAAAGUGCUGCCGAGGGCCCACACGUGUGAAUCCACCUGUGGAGUGCGUCCCCUCUCUGGGGGCAAGGCCUAGGGGAGGCCGAAGCGGAGAAGUUGCCGGAAGACUGGGAAGUAAGAGCAGGGGCGUCGGAGGAAUCGAAGUUGCAGUGACAUCAGGCUCGGACAUCCGGCGGACUCCUCUCAAGGCCUCAAACUUCUUCAUGGGAAAAAACGGCUUCUCUUUUUUAAUUGAAUGAACUAGAAGAAGUUCAUUGUUAUUCAUCAACUUCAAAGAGACUAUAUGAGGCCCCUUGGCCAGGACUACAGAGUAGUAUUUUUUAAUCAGAAAUUAUGGCCAAAAAGAAGAGGAGACCAGAACACAUGGCAGCCUGCAUGGACUAAGACAAGCUCAUUUGCUGGAAAGUCUUGAACUAAGUACUUGAAAAUACAAAGAUAAAUG